This is a non-coding RNA of Oscillibacter sp. 57_20, 132 nucleotides long. Lineage: Bacteria; Bacillati; Bacillota; Clostridia; Eubacteriales; Oscillospiraceae. The record is from Rfam.
UAUAAUAACAGUCGCGUUCCAAAGACAGCAGGUGGGGGAGACCCCGUAAGUCCUGCCGAGGAUGGCAAAAUCAUUUUGAUGUUGCUUUUCUGUCCUCAUGUCUUUCGGCAUGAGGACAGUUCCUUUUUGAAC